RNAcentral lists this ribosomal RNA (563 nucleotides) under Candida albicans. RNAcentral's name for it is "partial 28S ribosomal RNA". It matches the Rfam family "Eukaryotic large subunit ribosomal RNA", at positions 88 to 663 of the family's 3401-position model. The record is from RNAcentral. Lineage: Eukaryota; Fungi; Ascomycota; Pichiomycetes; Serinales; Debaryomycetaceae.
GGCGAGUGAAGCGGCAAAAGCUCAAAUUUGAAAUCUGGCGCCUUCAGGUCGUCCGAGUUGUAAUUUGAAGAAGGUAUCUUUGGGCCCGGCUCUUGUCUAUGUUCCUUGGAACAGGACGUCACAGAGGGUGAGAAUCCCGUGCGAUGAGAUGACCCGGACCUGUGUAAAGUUCCUUCGACGAGUCGAGUUGUUUGGGAAUGCAGCUCUAAGUGGGUGGUAAAUUCCAUCUAAAGCUAAAUAUUGGCGAGAGACCGAUAGCGAACAAGUACAGUGAUGGAAAGAUGAAAAGAACUUUGAAAAGAGAGUGAAAAAGUACGUGAAAUUGUUGAAAGGGAAGGGCUUGAGAUCAGACUUGGUAUUUUGCAUGUUGCUCUCUCGGGGGCGGCCGCUGCGGUUUACCGGGCCAGCAUCGGUUUGAACCGGCAGAAUAAUGGCGGAAGAAUGUGGCACGGCUUCUGCUGUGUGUUAUAGCCUCUGACGAUCUGUGCCACUCUAGACCGAGGACUGCGGUUUUUCCCUAGGAGGUGGGCUUAAGGAUUUUAAUUCCCCCCCUAAAAAAAGGG